CUGGAAUUGCAAAGACAUUCCACCAAUUGAAUAAGGUGCUUCCUUAUUCCUAGCUACCCUACUGUCCAACAGCAUCUGUAUCGCCUACUCUGAGUAGCAGUGGCUUUCCAAGGUCAAAGUCUUUUCCAUCACCUGCUACCUGAUCAUUGGCUACGCUUGCUGGGGCCGAUGAGAGCUGGGUUCCUGCAACGUCUGGAGAGUCACCGCUUCCUGCGGUUCCUGGGAAAUGGUCAGGGAUUGAAUCUGAAACAUUCUACAUUCAAAGCAUGUGUUUUUAAGUAUAGCAAUUUAAUUCACCGAAAUUGAAAAUGCUUGUAUGCAUUACCAGGUUGCUUAAAUUUGAUUGGUUGCUAAAUGAAUUCUAGAGUCUAGUAGUUCUCAUGCGACUGGCUAACGUUGGUCGCAUGGGAGGUAUCUAGUGAAGGAAAGACUCCAAUUUUAUGUGCGACAAGAUGACUGUGUUUUAGAAUCCACUGUGAACACUGCUAAGUUGAAUGAGUGUGGGAGCGCUUCUUCUUUGGAGGUCUCCCAUAGGAGCUGCAAGGCAUGGCCUAUUGAGAUACAGAAGACUGAAAGUGCUGAGCUCUGGAAAGAGAGGAAAAUACACUUGUUUGGAAGUUAGAAGAAGAGACUGUAAGCCCAUGCUUGGACAAGCACGGGGCUGUAAAUGUUGUGCUUUAAUUCAUCUAUAAGUUUCUGCAAGUAAAGUUUAUUAAUGUUGAAGUCUGGAAUUGGUUUCCAAUUUCCAAAGAAGGGUGUCAGUGAUAUACUGUAUUUAUCGCUCCAUAGGACGCACCUUUUCCCCUCCAAAAAUGAAGGGGAAAUGUGUGCGUCCUAUGGAGCGAAUGCAGCUUUCGCUGAAGCCUGGAAAGCGAGAGGGGUCGGUGCGCACCGGCCCUCUCGCUCUCCAGGCUUCAGGAAGCUAUCCGCAAGCCUUCAGAUGGAUCCCGCUCGCAGUCUUGGCUUCUUUGUUCUUUGGGGCUGGGGGCAAUAAUUUUCCCCUUAUUUCCCCGUAAAAACUAGGUGCGCCCUAUGGAGCGAAAAAUACGGUAUAUGAUUUGAGCUUCUUAGCUGUGAUUUUGCUACUGUUAUUUCAACAUGUGUCUUGUUACUAGCGAUGGCACAAACCAGGUUGCAUAACCAAAUCACAAUAUGGGAUCUGUUCUGGGAUCUAAAUUACACUAGUGCCUAUGUCUGCAAUGUAUGUUACAUGGCAGAAAAGUCCACUGGGAAAACUGGAAUGUUCAAAAUUCUUACCAGGAAUCUUUUUGGCCCAGGCAAUCAUGUGGACCAGUUCUUUGUCUGCAAGCUUCGUCAGCGACAUCAUCAUGGAGGCUUCUGUAAAUGGUUUGCUGGGGCGGCUCACCAACACAUUUGGUGGCUCGGCUUCAAGUAAUAUGGAAACGAACUGUUCCGGGGUCAGUGCAUUGACCAGCAGUUCUUUUACUUGAAUUAUGGCUUCAUUGUUCUUCUUAACUUUGCCUACGCAGUGCACGGGAUCGUCUGAGUUACGGUGGCGGCGAAUUAUGCGAUAGCCACAGCGCUCUCUUCUUGAACCUGAAAUUCACAAUAUUUCAGAACUAAAGGAAGUUUUUCAUUAACCCAGUCACCACAUUUCCCUUGUGC
Non-coding RNA from Podarcis lilfordi (Lilford's wall lizard), 1626 nucleotides. Lineage: Eukaryota; Metazoa; Chordata; Lepidosauria; Squamata; Lacertidae. The record is from the annotation of a GenBank genome assembly.